This 879-nucleotide ribosomal RNA is filed under the name uncultured bacterium. RNAcentral's name for it is "bacterial SSU rRNA". It matches the Rfam family "Bacterial small subunit ribosomal RNA", at positions 26 to 895 of the family's 1533-position model. The record is from RNAcentral.
AGGAUGAACGCUAGCUACAGGCUUAACACAUGCAAGUCGAGGGGAAACGACAUCGAAAGCUUGCUUUUGAUGGGCGUCGACCGGCGCACGGGUGAGUAACGCGUAUCCAACCUGCCCACCACUUGGGGAUAACCUUGCGAAAGUAAGACUAAUACCCAAUGAUAUCUCUAGAAGACAUCUGAAAGAGAUUAAAGAUUUAUCGGUGAUGGAUGGGGAUGCGUCUGAUUAGCUUGUUGGCGGGGUAACGGCCCACCAAGGCGACGAUCAGUAGGGGUUCUGAGAGGAAGGUCCCCCACAUUGGAACUGAGACACGGUCCAAACUCCUACGGGAGGCAGCAGUGAGGAAUAUUGGUCAAUGGGCGAGAGCCUGAACCAGCCAAGUAGCGUGCAGGAUGACGGCCCUAUGGGUUGUAAACUGCUUUUAUAAGGGAAUAAAGUGAGUCUCGUGAGACUUUUUGCAUGUACCUUAUGAAUAAGGACCGGCUAAUUCCGUGCCAGCAGCCGCGGUAAUACGGAAGGUCCGGGCGUUAUCCGGAUUUAUUGGGUUUAAAGGGAGCGUAGGCCGGAGAUUAAGCGUGUUGUGAAAUGUAGAUGCUCAACAUCUGAACUGCAGCGCGAACUGGUUUCCUUGAGUACGCACAAAGUGGGCGGAAUUCGUGGUGUAGCGGUGAAAUGCUUAGAUAUCACGAAGAACUCCGAUUGCGAAGGCAGCUCACUGGAGCGCAACUGACGCUGAAGCUCGAAAGUGCGGGUAUCGAACAGGAUUAGAUACCCUGGUAGUCCGCACGGUAAACGAUGGAUGCCCGCUGUUGGUCUGAAUAGGUCAGCGGCCAAGCGAAAGCAUUAAGCAUCCCACCUGGGGAGUACGCCGGCAACGGU